Molecule: unclassified non-coding RNA, 255 nt
Filed under: uncultured fungus
Lineage: Eukaryota; Fungi
Description: partial contains small subunit ribosomal RNA, internal transcribed spacer 1, and 5.8S ribosomal RNA
Rfam family: Eukaryotic small subunit ribosomal RNA (bases 1-73)
Source: RNAcentral
CCAAACUUGGUCAUUUAGAGGAAGUAAAAGUCGUAACAAGGUUUCCGUAGGUGAACCUGCGGAAGGAUCAUCGUGGAGGUUGAGAUAUACUGGCCUGUGAACCGUCGCUGAGGCGGCGACAGCCGCCGAGGCGGAUCGGAGGCGCUUGCGCCGACGACAGCCGUGCCGUGAGCAGUACACCAACAGAGUAGAUAUAAUACACACACAACUUUCAACAAUGGAUCUCUUGGCUCUCGCAUCGAUGAAGAACGCAGC